This is a long non-coding RNA of Diabrotica virgifera virgifera (western corn rootworm), 678 nucleotides long. RefSeq lists it as uncharacterized. The record is from RefSeq and is a predicted model, not a curated record. The transcript is spliced from 3 exons. Lineage: Eukaryota; Metazoa; Arthropoda; Insecta; Coleoptera; Chrysomelidae.
AUGGCUACUGGGUGUAAAAGAUAAAUCUUAUUCUAUCUGUUCUUCAUGAGUUUUAGAUAAUUUUAGUUGUAUUUCUUUGUAAUUUUGUGUUGUACAAAGAUUAAUUUAACAUUUUCUCUGGAAGUAUUAAUUUAGAAAGAUAAUAUGCUUCAUUGGUGUUGUGUUUUGAAGUGUGAAAUGCAAAGUAAUUGUGAUAAAGUCAAGAUCACUUUUAAACUGAACUAAAUAAGGUAUCUGAGAGACAACAAUGGUUAAAUGCAAUACAAUGUACAGGUUUUACUAGCGAAAUGAAAAUUUUCCUGUCCUGUCUGCUGUAAUCAUUUUAUAUCUGGAAAAUAGGAAAACCAGCCGACUUAAUCGAUAAUAACAAUCUCCAGAUUGGGUUCCUUCAAUAAAUAUGGGCUAUAAACACAAUGAAAUAAGUUCCCCAAAAUCUAAAAUGGAGUGGUAUCAAAGGAGAAUUAAAGGAAAAUAUUCAUAUUGAAAUUAUUUAUAAGGCACUGGACUGUCUCAAAUUCUACAAUAAUACUAGAAUCAGCUGAGAGAAGUGGUCUACAAAAAACCAGGAAGGAAACGGAAUAUGUGGCUACGAAAGGCAAAAGAAAGGUUUACAAAGCAAAUGUGACACAUUUUUUUGAAAUAUUUAGGAAUAUCAGUAAAUUGCAUUAAAAAAAUGUA